ACUCAAAUGAAUUGACGGGGGCCCGCACAAGCGGUGGAGCAUGUGGUUUAAUUCGACGCAACGCGAAGAACCUUACCUACUCUUGACAUCCUGCGAAUCUGACUGAGAGGUUGGAGUGCCGAAAGGAACGCAGAGACAGGUGCUGCAUGGCUGUCGUCAGCUCGUGUUGUGAGAUGUUGGGUUAAGUCCCGUAACGAGCGCAACCCUUGUCCUUAGUUACCAGCGAGUAAAGUCGGGGACUCUAAGGAGACUGCCAGUGAUGAACUGGAGGAAGGCGGGGACGACGUCAAGUCAUCAUGGCCUUUAUGAGUAGGGCUACACACGUGCUACAAUGGGGCAUACAGAGGGUCGCCAACCCGCGAGGGGGAGCCAAUCCCAGAAAGUGUCUCGUAGUCCGGAUUGAAGUCUGCAACUCGACUUCAUGAAGUUGGAAUCGCUAGUAAUCGCGAAUCAGCAACGUCGCGGUGAAUACGUUCCCGGGCCUUGUACACACCGCCCGU
Molecule: ribosomal RNA, 500 nt
Filed under: uncultured bacterium
Lineage: Bacteria
Description: partial 16S ribosomal RNA
Rfam family: Bacterial small subunit ribosomal RNA
Source: RNAcentral